Bos taurus (domestic cattle) is the source of this 74-nucleotide non-coding RNA. Lineage: Eukaryota; Metazoa; Chordata; Mammalia; Artiodactyla; Bovidae. The record is from Rfam.
UCCCAGGUAGUCCAGUGGUUAAGACGCUGCACUCCCAAUGCAAGGGCCCCAAGGUUCAAUCCCUGGUCAGGGAA